AAGUCGUAACAAGGUUUCCGUAGGUGAACCUGCGGAAGGAUCAUUAAUGAGUGUGUUGGUUGAUUCCGACUCCUCCCACCCUUGUUUUUAAACAGCUGAAAAGCAGCUUCGGCGGACCGUCUUGAGCAAUUGAGACAUUGGCUUUUCGUUUUAUGGAGAGUUGGUUCGUGUUCGCCGAAGGAAUUUCCAAACUCUUUUUGAAUCAAUUUAUGAAGUCUGAGAAACAAAACAAAAAAAAUAAAUCAAAACUUUCAACAACGGAUCUCUUGGUUCUG
Molecule: unclassified non-coding RNA, 275 nt
Filed under: fungal sp.
Lineage: Eukaryota; Fungi
Description: partial internal transcribed spacer region
Rfam family: Eukaryotic small subunit ribosomal RNA (bases 1-46)
Source: RNAcentral